AUGCCCGCGCAGGUCCUAGCAGCUUCGCAAGGCUUCUUUUUCAUCCCACUCUCUAGUGACAACCACCAUAUACUAUCACGCAUGCAGAAGGCCGGGUUGCAUAUGGGACUGGAAGGCACCGGGAAUUAUUUUGGGGUCUUGGCAUGUUGUUCACGAGCAAAAGCAGGUGGAUCUAGUUGCACCAGUGCCAGCACCAGUGACGACGGGUGUCCAACAAAAGGAGACCGACGUGAGAAGCCAGACAGACAUAUCGCGCACCCCUCCUCCAAUGUCACACCUGUAGGAGUCCAAGACAAGGAGGCCGUCUCUCAUCAAAUUAGUUGGCACCAGAUUCACCUCACCACUGCCAAAGACGAAACACGAUGUGAGCCAUACGCUCCUGACGAGCGAGACGCAAAAAGCAUCAUGCGGUCGGCCGACUAG
RNAcentral lists this ribosomal RNA (423 nucleotides) under Triticum aestivum (bread wheat). Its description in RNAcentral is "partial small subunit ribosomal RNA". Lineage: Eukaryota; Viridiplantae; Streptophyta; Magnoliopsida; Poales; Poaceae. The record is from RNAcentral.